CUUCUACAUAAACAGUUUAUUAAUAAUUCAUUUAAUUAUUUAUUACCUCGCAUUAUAUUUUCUAGAGCUUUAGUUAUUUUAUUAUUAUUUCACAUAACAACAAAUCAUUAAAAUUGCAAAUUUAGAUAUACGCCAAAAGAAUAAUUGAUGUUUUAGCAAAUAUUUUACAAAGUAUUUAUUUACUUAACUAAGAAAAAAAACUAAAUAUAUAUAUAUAAAAAAAACCUAAUCAAUAAUUAUAAAAAAUACUUUAAUAAUAUACAUGGUUAUUUUUGAAUAUGCUUGCCUGAUUUUUAUCUGUCUGUUUUAUAUGAGUCAUCUAUAGGGAAAUUUUUGUUUUGAAACUUGCAGUUAUCAAAAAAUCAAUUUUAUGCUAUUAUCCAUUAGUAUUUAAAGUAGAAUAACUCAGAAACUUUUUAUUCAAAUUUUGAUUACAAUACGUCAACAUUCUCAGAAAAAUCAUUAGAUUGACAAUUGCAUUAAAACAUGUAGGAUUUAUUUGAAAAACUAAAAUUGAUAUUGCAC
Molecule: non-coding RNA, 525 nt
Organism: Cinara cedri
Lineage: Eukaryota; Metazoa; Arthropoda; Insecta; Hemiptera; Aphididae
Source: the annotation of a GenBank genome assembly